GACGAACGCUGGCGGCGUGCUUAACACAUGCAAGUCGAACGGAAAGGCCCUGCUUUUGUGGGGUGCUCGAGUGGCGAACGGGUGAGUAACACGUGAGUAACCUGCCCUUGACUUUGGGAUAACUUCAGGAAACUGGGGCUAAUACCGGAUAGGAGCUCCUGCUGCAUGGUGGGGGUUGGAAAGUUUCGGCGGUUGGGGAUGGACUCGCGGCUUAUCAGCUUGUUGGUGGGGUAGUGGCUUACCAAGGCUUUGACGGGUAGCCGGCCUGAGAGGGUGACCGGCAACAUUGGGACAGAGAUACGGCCCAGGCUCCUACGGGAGACAGCAGUGGGGAAUAUUGCACAAUGGGCGGAAGCCUGAUGCAGCAACGCCGCGUGCGGGAUGACGGCCUUCGGGUUGUAAACCGCUUUCGCCUGUGACGAAGCGUGAGUGACGGUAAUGGGUAAAGAAGCACCGGCUAACUACGUG
This 468-nucleotide ribosomal RNA is filed under the name uncultured bacterium. RNAcentral describes it as "partial 16S ribosomal RNA". It matches the Rfam family "Bacterial small subunit ribosomal RNA", at positions 28 to 507 of the family's 1533-position model. The record is from RNAcentral.